AGCAGUGUGGCUUAGCGGAAAGAGCAUGGGCUUGGGAGUCAAAGGGUGUGGGUUCUAAUCCCGACACUGCCA
Non-coding RNA from Ornithorhynchus anatinus (platypus), 72 nucleotides. The record is from Rfam. NCBI's taxonomy places the organism in Eukaryota, Metazoa, Chordata, Mammalia, Monotremata, Ornithorhynchidae.